Molecule: ribosomal RNA, 501 nt
Filed under: uncultured bacterium
Lineage: Bacteria
Description: bacterial SSU rRNA
Rfam family: Bacterial small subunit ribosomal RNA
Source: RNAcentral
GAUGAACGCUGGCGGCGUGCCUCAAACAUGCAAGUCGAGCGGGGCUAUGUAAUAUCGCAAGGUAGAACAUAGCCUAGCGGCGAACGGGUGAGUAACACGUGGGUAACCUGCCUGGAAGACAGGGAUAACGAUUCGAAAGGGUCGCUAAUACCUGAUAAUAUCCUUUCAUCGCAUGGUGAUAGGAAGAAAGGGGAAACCCGCUUUCAGAUGGGCCCGCGUCCCAUCAGCUAGUUGGUAAGGUAAAGGCUUACCAAGGCGACGACGGGUAGCCGGUCUGAGAGGAUGUACGGCCACACUGGGACUGAGAUACGGCCCAGACUCCUACGGGAGGCAGCAGCUAAGAAUAUUCCGCAAUGGACGGAAGUCUGACGGAGCGACGCCGCGUGGAUGAAGAAGGCCGAAAGGUUGUAAAGUUCUUUUGCUAGGGGAGAAUAAGUGAGGGAGGGAAUGCCCUCAUGAUGACAAGGACUAGCGAAUAAGCCCGGCCAACUACGUGCCAGC